Molecule: ribosomal RNA, 22 nt
Filed under: Sporobolomyces salmonicolor
Lineage: Eukaryota; Fungi; Basidiomycota; Microbotryomycetes; Sporidiobolales; Sporidiobolaceae
Description: Sporidiobolus salmonicolor partial large subunit ribosomal RNA
Source: RNAcentral
CUACCUUUUAGAUUAGAUCUCC